AACUGGGUUCAGAACGUCGCAAGACAGUUCGGUCCCUAUCUGUGGUGGGCGCUAGGAAAUUGAAAGGACAUGACCUUAGUACGAGAGGACCGGGUCGUAUGUACCGCUGGUGUAUCGGUUGUUCCGACAGGGGCACUGCCGAGUAGCUAUGUACAGACAGGAUAAACGCUGAAGGCAUCUAAGCGUGAAACCUUCCUUAAGAUGAGUUUCCUUUUAAGGGUCGUCAAAGACUAUGACGUUGAUAGGCUAUAGGUGUAAAACUGGUAACAGUAAAGCCGAGUAGUACUAAUUGCCCGUAAGCUUUAAUUUUUUU
Molecule: ribosomal RNA, 313 nt
Filed under: Bacteroidota bacterium
Lineage: Bacteria; Pseudomonadati; Bacteroidota
Description: Bacteroidetes bacterium (freshwater metagenome) partial 23S ribosomal RNA
Rfam family: Bacterial large subunit ribosomal RNA
Source: RNAcentral